Molecule: long non-coding RNA, 574 nt
Organism: Pan paniscus (pygmy chimpanzee)
Lineage: Eukaryota; Metazoa; Chordata; Mammalia; Primates; Hominidae
Source: Ensembl
AUGAAAUUCUACAGGUCUUUGAAAUGCUUUACAUUUGAGAAUGAAGCUCAGCUGAAGUUUGAACAGCAUACUGACACUGCUCUUGAGUUUUUCUGGGGGAAUAUACCAGGAGACCAUAAUCAAGGUACCAGUUUAUUGAUGGCUGUUCUUAAUAAAUACAACUCUUCAAGAAAAUAAGGUAAUUUAAUGCAUAAUAAUGUUGAAUGCGUAAGUAGGAUCAAAAUUAGCUAUUUCUAAAUUGUUUAAAAAUCAGAAUUUCAUUUCAGAGUAAAAAUUAUUAUAAAGAUAAAAUAACAGUAAUGCCAUCACUAUGGAUCCUUAAUCUGCAGUUUGUGAAUGUAAAUUACUUGAUCAUGUUUCCAGACUAAUUUUUGUAAAGAAAGGUUUUAUGGGUGACAUCUACAUUUGUUACCAUAUCUUCAUUUGACAAGGCAAGCUGGUAAAUUCAUAGGUAUGGAUUAAACUGAUUCUUUCAUUACAUCUGGAAUGCAAGGAUAAAUAAAUAAUUUAUUAAAUUAAUUGAGUUCUUUUAUUCAGAUGUUUCCAAGGCGAUUAUCGUGAUACCUAAGUAAUC